UCUUGUACUCACCGCCCGUCAACUCAAGGGAGCCGGGCAUACCCGAAGCUCUAGCACUUGCUGGAACCACGGUAAAUUCGGUGACAGGGAGU
This 92-nucleotide ribosomal RNA is filed under the name uncultured bacterium. RNAcentral describes it as "partial 16S ribosomal RNA". The record is from RNAcentral.